CGCGGGGUGGAGCAGUCUGGUAGCUCGUUGGGCUCAUAACCCAAAGGUCGUUGGUUCGAAUCCAGCCCCCGCUACCA
Molecule: transfer RNA, 77 nt
Filed under: Planctomycetaceae bacterium
Lineage: Bacteria; Pseudomonadati; Planctomycetota; Planctomycetia; Planctomycetales; Planctomycetaceae
Also listed under: 1 other name
Description: tRNA-Met
Rfam family: tRNA
About the family: Transfer RNA (tRNA) molecules are approximately 80 nucleotides in length. Their secondary structure includes four short double-helical elements and three loops (D, anti-codon, and T loops). Further hydrogen bonds mediate the characteristic L-shaped molecular structure. tRNAs have two regions of fundamental functional importance: the anti-codon, which is responsible for specific mRNA codon recognition, and the 3' end, to which the tRNAs corresponding amino acid is attached (by aminoacyl-tRNA synthetases). tRNAs cope with the degeneracy of the genetic code in two manners: having more than one tRNA (with a specific anti-codon) for a particular amino acid; and 'wobble' base-pairing, i.e. permitting non-standard base-pairing at the 3rd anti-codon position.
Source: RNAcentral